RNAcentral lists this ribosomal RNA (838 nucleotides) under uncultured bacterium. RNAcentral's name for it is "bacterial SSU rRNA". It matches the Rfam family "Bacterial small subunit ribosomal RNA", at positions 21 to 902 of the family's 1533-position model. The record is from RNAcentral.
GGCUCAGGAUGAACGCUGGCGGUAUGCUUAACACAUGCAAGUCGAACGGUCUCUUCGGAGAUAGUGGCGGACGGGUGAGUAACACGUGAGAACCUACCUUUAGAACGGGGACAACAGUUGGAAACGACUGCUAAUACCCGAUGUGCCGAGAGGUGAAAGAUUUAUCGUCUAAAGAUGGGCUCGCGGCUGAUUAGCUAGUUGGUGGUGUAAGGGACUACCAAGGCGACGAUCAGUAACUGGUCUGAGAGGAUGAGCAGUCACACUGGAACUGAGAAACGGUCCAGACUCCUACGGGAGGCAGCAGUGGGGAAUUUUCCGCAAUGGGCGAAAGCCUGACGGAGCAAUACCGCGUGAGGGAGGAAGGUUCUUGGAUUGUAAACCUCUUUUCUAGGGGAAGAAGAAAGUGACGGUACCCUAGGAAUAAGCAUCGGCUAACUCCGUGCCAGCAGCCGCGGUAAUACGGAGGAUGCAAGCGUUAUCCGGAAUUAUUGGGCGUAAAGAGUCCGUAGGUGGGAGUUCAAGUCUGCUGUUAAAGAGUGUAGCUUAACUACAUAAAGGCGGUGGAAACUGAGCAACUAGAGUGAGGUAGGGGUAACGGGAAUUCCCAGUGUAGCGGUGAAAUGCGUAGAUAUUGGGAAGAACAUCGGUGGCGAAAGCGCGUUACUGGGCCUAAACUGACACUGAGGGACGAAAGCUAGGGUAGCGAAAGGGAUUAGAUACCCCUGUAGUCCUAGCCGUAAACGAUGGAUACUAGGCGUAGCUUGUAUCGACCCGAGCUGUGCCGAAGCUAACGCGUUAAGUAUCCCGCCUGGGGAGUACGCACGCAAGUGUGAAACUU